Molecule: transfer RNA, 73 nt
Filed under: Bos taurus (domestic cattle)
Lineage: Eukaryota; Metazoa; Chordata; Mammalia; Artiodactyla; Bovidae
Also listed under: 4 other names
Rfam family: tRNA
About the family: Transfer RNA (tRNA) molecules are approximately 80 nucleotides in length. Their secondary structure includes four short double-helical elements and three loops (D, anti-codon, and T loops). Further hydrogen bonds mediate the characteristic L-shaped molecular structure. tRNAs have two regions of fundamental functional importance: the anti-codon, which is responsible for specific mRNA codon recognition, and the 3' end, to which the tRNAs corresponding amino acid is attached (by aminoacyl-tRNA synthetases). tRNAs cope with the degeneracy of the genetic code in two manners: having more than one tRNA (with a specific anti-codon) for a particular amino acid; and 'wobble' base-pairing, i.e. permitting non-standard base-pairing at the 3rd anti-codon position.
Source: Rfam by way of RNAcentral
UCCCUGGUGGCUCAGAUGGUACAGAAUCUGCCUGCAAAGCAGGAGACCCUGGGUUUGAUCCCUGGGUUGGGAA